Molecule: transfer RNA, 83 nt
Filed under: Dermacentor silvarum
Lineage: Eukaryota; Metazoa; Arthropoda; Arachnida; Ixodida; Ixodidae
Description: transfer RNA serine (anticodon AGA)
Rfam family: tRNA
About the family: Transfer RNA (tRNA) molecules are approximately 80 nucleotides in length. Their secondary structure includes four short double-helical elements and three loops (D, anti-codon, and T loops).
Source: RNAcentral
GGCAGUCGUGGCCGAGCGGUUAAGGCGAUGGACUAGAAAUCCAUUGGGGUCUCCCCGCACAGGUUCGAAUCCUGUCGAUCCUG